This 354-nucleotide long non-coding RNA is filed under the name Mytilus galloprovincialis (Mediterranean mussel). The record is from RNAcentral. Lineage: Eukaryota; Metazoa; Mollusca; Bivalvia; Mytilida; Mytilidae.
UGACCACAUAUGUACCAACAAAACAGACUAAGGAGAGGUAUGGUCACCCUUGGAAGAACACACAGGUACGGGAAAUUAGCAAUUACAAACAGCGAGCAUAGACCAAGGCUAAAAAAACGAAAAACACUAAAAAUUGUCAACGUUACAAAUUCUUCAAGGCAAAGCUACAGAAAGAAUUCAGGGUUAUUCAUGGAGCAACCAAAUCGAUGGACUACUGAACAGGGAUACACCAACUAAAGCUUAAAUAUUAAAUCAGCAAUUUCAAUCAGUCAACACAAAAGAGGACAUACAUAACAUGCCAUAUAUGGGACCAAGUUCAUUUCCAACUAUGGAUAAUAUCACAGUCAGCCAGGC